Molecule: ribosomal RNA, 480 nt
Filed under: uncultured bacterium
Lineage: Bacteria
Description: partial 16S ribosomal RNA
Rfam family: Bacterial small subunit ribosomal RNA
Source: RNAcentral
GAUGAACGCUGGCGGCGCGCCUAACACAUGCAAGUCGAACGGACGAUGAAAAGCUUGCUUUUCAAAGUUCGUGGCGGACGGGUGAGUAACGCGUGGGUAACCUGCAUCAUACAGGGGAAUAGCAGCUGGAAAUGGCUGAUAAAACCGCAUAAGCGCACAGUGCAGCAUGGCACAGUGUGAAAAACUCCGGUGGUAUGAGAUGGACCCGCGUCUGAUUAGCUUGUUGGCGGGGUAACGGCCCACCAAGGCGACGAUCAGUAGCCGGCCUGAGAGGGUGAUCGGCCACAUUGGGACUGAGACACGGCCCAAACUCCUACGGGAGGCAGCAGUGGGGAAUAUUGCACAAUGGGGGAAACCCUGAUGCAGCGACGCCGCGUGAAGGAAGAAGUAUCUCGGUAUGUAAACUUCUAUCAGCAGGGAAGAUAAUGACGGUACCUGACUAAGAAGCCCCGGCUAACUACGUGCCAGCCGCCGCGGUAA